AUGUAUAUUAGGGUUAUUUCAUGUUGAUGUUAUUAUUGGUUAUUAGUUAUUUUAUGUUUUAGGGUAGUUUGGGGUGGGGGUUUUUUUGUUUAAUUAGAUUGAAAGCCCGGGCUCAACCUAGGAACUGCAUUUAAAACUGGCAAACUAGAGUAUAGGAGAGGAAAGGGAAUUUCAGGUGUAGCGGUGAAAUGCGUAGAUAUCUGAAGGAACAUCAAUGGCGAAGGCAGCUUUCUGGACUAAUACUGACACUGAGGUACGAAAGCGUGGGUAGCAAACAGGAUUAGAUCCCUGGUAGUCCACCCGUAAACGAUGACAAUCUAGCCGUUGGGAGGG
This 333-nucleotide ribosomal RNA is filed under the name uncultured bacterium. RNAcentral's name for it is "bacterial SSU rRNA". The stretch from base 71 to 333 matches the Rfam family "Bacterial small subunit ribosomal RNA", at positions 566 to 831 of the family's 1533-position model. The record is from RNAcentral.